Molecule: ribosomal RNA, 520 nt
Filed under: uncultured bacterium
Lineage: Bacteria
Description: bacterial SSU rRNA
Rfam family: Bacterial small subunit ribosomal RNA
Source: RNAcentral
AACGAACGCUGGCGGCGUGGUUGAUACAUGCAAGUCGAACGGGAAACAGGGCUUCGGUCCUGGAGUACAGUGGCGGACGGGUGAGUAACGUAUGAUCAAUCUGCCCGGAAGACCAGGAUAGCCAUCCGAAAGGAUGGGUAAUACUGGAUAAGCCCACGGUGAGGCAUCUCUCUGUGGGAAAAGGAUUGGGAUCUUCGGACCUUUCGCUUUCGGAUGAGAUUAUAUUCUAUCAGCUUGUUGGUGAGGUAACGGCUCACCAAGGCGACGACGGAUAGCCGGCCUGAGAGGGUGGACGGCCACACUGGAACUGAGACACGGUCCAGACUCCUACGGGAGGCAGCAGUGCUGAAUUAUUCGCCAAUGCGCGAAAGCGUGACGGUGCGACGCCGCGUGAGGGACGAAGGCCUUCGGGUUGUAAACCUCUGUCAGGACAUAGAAAACCGAUUCGGUUAAUAGCCGGGUCGCUGAUCAUGUCCAAAGGAAGCACAGGCUAAUUUCGUGCCAGCCGCCGCAGUAAAAC